GCGGCGAGCGGCGGACGGGUGAGGAAUUCGUCGGAAUCUGCCUUUUUGUGGGGGAUAACGUAGGGAAACUUACGCUAAUACCGCAUACGACCUACGGGUGAAAGUGGGGGACCUUCGGGCCUCACGCAGAAAGAUGAGCCGACGACCGAUUAGCUAGUUGGUGGGGUAAAGGCCCACCAAGGCGACGAUCGGUAGCUGGUCUGAGAGGAUGAUCAGCCACACUGGGACUGAGACACGGCCCAGACUCCUACGGGAGGCAGCAGUGGGGAAUAUUGGACAAUGGGGGCAACCCUGAUCCAGCCAUGCCGCGUGUGUGAAGAAGGCCUUCGGGUUGUAAAGCACUUUUGUCCGGAAAGAAAUCUUCCAGUUUAAUACGCUGGGAGGAUGACGGUACCGGAAGAAUAAGCACCGGCUAACUUCGUGCCAGCAGCCGCGGUAAUACGAAGGGUGCAAGCGUUACUCGGAAUUACUGGGCGUAAAGCGUGCGUAGGCGGUUUGUUAAGUCUGAUGUGAAAUCCCCGGGCUCAACCUGGGACGUGCAUUGGAAACUGGCGAUCUAGAGUACGGUAGAGGGUGGUGGAAUUCCCGGUGUAGCAGUGAAAUGCGUAGAGAUCGGGAGGAACACUCGUGGCGAAGGCGGCCAC
This 644-nucleotide ribosomal RNA is filed under the name uncultured bacterium. Its description in RNAcentral is "bacterial SSU rRNA". It matches the Rfam family "Bacterial small subunit ribosomal RNA", at positions 88 to 728 of the family's 1533-position model. The record is from RNAcentral.